UCCCGUAGUUGACGACGUGUGUUCAGUGAAAUCGAGUAGGGCGGGACACGUGAUAUCCUGUCUGAAUAUGGGGGGACCAUCCUCCAAGGCUAAAUACUACUGACUGACCGAUAGUGAACCAGUACCGGGAGGGAAAGGCGAAAAGAACCCCUGUGAGGGGAGUGAAAUAGAACCUGAAACCGUGUACGUACAAGCAGUAGGAGCA
Molecule: ribosomal RNA, 205 nt
Filed under: Vibrio parahaemolyticus
Lineage: Bacteria; Pseudomonadati; Pseudomonadota; Gammaproteobacteria; Vibrionales; Vibrionaceae
Description: partial 23S ribosomal RNA
Rfam family: Bacterial large subunit ribosomal RNA
Source: RNAcentral